Molecule: small RNA, 1016 nt
Filed under: Arabidopsis thaliana (thale cress)
Lineage: Eukaryota; Viridiplantae; Streptophyta; Magnoliopsida; Brassicales; Brassicaceae
Description: ATSL033440
Source: RNAcentral
AAAUGAAAAUUGAAAAAGAACUUGAUCUAAGCAAGUCUGAAAUCUCAAAUGUAAUAAACAAACACCCAAUUGGCAAUGGUGCCAAAUUGAUAAUAGGUUUUUAGUCAAUUAUCCUAAAACACCAAUCAUGUCGUUGUAGUAUUUUAGGUUGUCAAUCCAAAUGGGUGUGAUGCUAGCAAUCAAGAUGCAAUCAGAGUUCACAGAGUCAAGCCAAGCAAUAACAGGACUUGGAGUGUUCUAGUAGUCCUAAGUGAACAUGCAGGAAACAGAAAAAUCAAGCAGAAAUAAUAAAACACUCGACCAACACAACUCGUUGCAUAGACCUGGGUGUGGUCGAGUGACUGGUCGAGUAACAGAUAAAAAAUAUAACAGGGAUACUCGAUUGCACAGUCUGUUGCCAGACAACUGGGUGGUCGAGUAUCAGGUCGAGUAGCAGGAGAAAAAUACAAAAACUAAGCAACAACUAACAAGAUGCAGCAAACAACAAUAGAGUAAACAAAGAAAUCAAUUAGAUAAAGAAUUCACGAGGAUGGGGUAAUUGAGUAGUUUCGUUUCCUCAGUUUACAGGUGAUUGACAUGUUAAAUAAAUUAUCCCUAGACAACAAGUUCGAUAACCAAAUCUAAGUGCCACCGCAACAGAGACCCUCAAGUUCAACCAGUCCAGACUCAAUCACCAUUGACGAGAGCUAACCUAACAGGCAUUAUGAAUCAACAAGUUAAAGCCAAAACGCUCCCUGCAACCAAUACCUUGGUACAGAGCCACAAAUCUCUGGAAUUAGUGGUUCAAACAUUUCAUCGAACACCUUUUGGGCGCGGAAAUGUCUGGGCUCAAAUUCCAGUUGAUCAGAAAGCAAUAGGCAUUAAGAACAACUAAUCCAGAAGGAAUCUAUAAAUCAAACUCAACCACCUAGCAUACUGAGAAUUCUAAACUACUCUAACCCAUCCUCAGUAACCUAAUCACUACUCAGAAAUCAUAGCAGAAAGCAUAAACAAUGAAUACAAUGGAAACAUGAUAG